Molecule: ribosomal RNA, 253 nt
Filed under: uncultured bacterium
Lineage: Bacteria
Description: partial 16S ribosomal RNA
Rfam family: Bacterial small subunit ribosomal RNA
Source: RNAcentral
UACGGAGGGGGCAAGCGUUGUUCGGAAUUACUGGGCGUAAAGGGCUCGUAGGCGGCCAACUAAGUCAUACGUGAAAUCCCUCGGCUUAACCGGGGAACUGCGUCUGAUACUGGAUGGCUUGAGUUCGGGAGAGGGAUGCGGAAUUCCAGGUGUAGCGGUGAAAUGCGUAGAUAUCUGGAGGAACACCGGUGGCGAAGGCGGCAUCCUGGACCGAUACUGACGCUGAGGAGCGAAAGCCAGGGGAGCAAACAGG